AUGCCACUCCGGCAUCGGGCGCAUCGGCCCGAAGAUCGAUUCCGAUUUUCGGGCCGAUGCGGUAGACC
Molecule: small RNA, 68 nt
Filed under: Sinorhizobium meliloti 2011
Lineage: Bacteria; Pseudomonadati; Pseudomonadota; Alphaproteobacteria; Hyphomicrobiales; Rhizobiaceae
Description: putative ncRNA
Source: RNAcentral